Molecule: transfer RNA, 20 nt
Filed under: Brachymeles miriamae (Miriam's skink)
Lineage: Eukaryota; Metazoa; Chordata; Lepidosauria; Squamata; Scincidae
Description: partial tRNA-Asx
Source: RNAcentral
GAUCAGGCCCAUUUGUCCGG